This 515-nucleotide ribosomal RNA is filed under the name Lactarius sp. (in: basidiomycete fungi). RNAcentral describes it as "eukaryotic LSU rRNA". It matches the Rfam family "Eukaryotic large subunit ribosomal RNA", at positions 900 to 1417 of the family's 3401-position model. The record is from RNAcentral. Lineage: Eukaryota; Fungi; Basidiomycota; Agaricomycetes; Russulales; Russulaceae.
GAUCGUCAAAUUUGGGUAUAGGGGCGAAAGACUAAUCGAACCAUCUAGUAGCUGGUUCCUGCUGAAGUUUCCCUCAGGAUAGCAGAAACUCAUGUCAGAUUUAUGUGGUAAAGCGAAUGAUGAGAGGCCUUGGGGAUGAAACAUCCUUAACCUAUUCUCACACUUUAAAUAUGUAAGAACGAGCCGUCGUUUGAUUGGACCGCUCGGUGAUUGAGAGUUUCUAGUGGGCCAUUUUUGGUAAGCAGAUCUGGCGAUGCGGGAUGAACCGAAAGUGAGGCUAAGGUGCCGGAAUGCACUCUCAUCAGACUCCACUAAAGGUGUUAGUUCAUCUAGACAGCAGGGCGGUGACCACGGAAGUCGGAAUCCCCCCAGGAGUGUGUAUCCACUCCCCUACCGAAUGACCUAGCCCUGAAAAUGGAUGGCUUCAAGCGUGCUACCCAUACCUCCCAGAGGAUGCUGAAGUGACACAUCGACGAGUAGGCAGGCGUGGAGGUAGCGUGAAGAAGCCUCGGCAG